UAGAUGAUGUUCCAAUAAGAGUGUUCAAGAACAGCAAAGAUUUAGGAGUGAAAUUUCCAUUUGACCAACCAAUGAAGAUAUACAACAGUUUAUGGAACGCAGAUGAUUGGGCAACAAGAGGUGGAUUAGAGAAAACAGAUUGGUCAAAAGCACCAUUCAUAGCAGGUUACAAAAGCUUCCACAUUGAUGGAUGUGAGGCUUCCGUUAAUGCAAAAUUCUGUGCAACACAAGGUAAAAGAUGGUGGGAUCAAGUUGAGUUUCGUGACCUUGAUGCUGCUCAAUGGCGUAGAUUAAAAUGGGUGCGAGAGAAAUUUACCAUUUACAAUUACUGCAAUGAUAGAAAACGUUUACCUCAAAUUCCUCCUGAAUGCAAAAGAGACCGUGACAUUUAAAUUUUAUCAUAUGAUAUUGUAUUUGUAUUAUUUGCUCUCUCAUUAUUAUAUGCAUUCAACACCAAUGUCACGUUGUUGUCAAGAUAUAAGACAAUUCCAUAUCUCAUUGUAUCGUAGUAUGAUUAUUUAUUGCCACUAUUGUUCCAUUUUGAGUACUGUAAAUUUUAUUAUAUUAUCACUCUUCACAUUUUAUGAUAUUAAAAAUGAAAAAUUAUUAUGAAUGCUUUAAUUAUGGCAAGUGCUAGAGAAGCAGUUGUAAA
Molecule: long non-coding RNA, 652 nt
Filed under: Lathyrus oleraceus (garden pea)
Lineage: Eukaryota; Viridiplantae; Streptophyta; Magnoliopsida; Fabales; Fabaceae
Description: Pisum sativum (pea) long non-coding RNA (PSAT_LNC010002)
Source: RNAcentral